Molecule: ribosomal RNA, 924 nt
Filed under: uncultured bacterium
Lineage: Bacteria
Description: bacterial SSU rRNA
Rfam family: Bacterial small subunit ribosomal RNA
Source: RNAcentral
CGGAAUUAUUGGGCGUAAAGAGCUCGUAGGCGGUUUGUCGCGUCUGCUGUGAAAUCCGGAGGCUCAACCUCCGGCCUGCAGUGGGUACGGGCAGACUAGAGUGCGGUAGGGGAGAUUGGAAUUCCUGGUGUAGCGGUGGAAUGCGCGGAUAUCAGGAGGAACACCGAUGGCGAAGGCAGAUCUCUGGGCCGUAACUGACGCUGAGGAGCGAAAGGGUGGGGAGCAAACAGGCUUAGAUACCCUGGUAGUCCACCCCGUAAACGUUGGGAACUAGUUGUGGGGUCCAUUCCACGGAUUCCGUGACGCAGCUAACGCAUUAAGUUCCCCGCCUGGGGAGUACGGCCGCAAGGCUAAAACUCAAAGGAAUUGACGGGGACCCGCACAAGCGGCGGAGCAUGCGGAUUAAUUCGAUGCAACGCGAAGAACCUUACCAAGGCUUGACAUAUACGAGAACGGGCCAGAAAUGGUCAACUCUUUGGACACUCGUAAACAGGUGGUGCAUGGUUGUCGUCAGCUCGUGUCGUGAGAUGUUGGGUUAAGUCCCGCAACGAGCGCAACCCUCGUUCUAUGUUGCCAGCACGUAAUGGUGGGAACUCAUGGGAUACUGCCGGGGUCAACUCGGAGGAAGGUGGGGAUGACGUCAAAUCAUCAUGCCCCUUAUGUCUUGGGCUUCACGCAUGCUACAAUGGCCGGUACAAAGGGCUGCAAUACCGCGAGGUGGAGCGAAUCCCAAAAAGCCGGUCCCAGUUCGGAUUGAGGUCUGCAACUCGACCUCAUGAAGUCGGAGUCGCUAGUAAUCGCAGAUCAGCAACGCUGCGGUGAAUACGUUCCCGGGUCUUGUACACACCGCCCGUCAAGUCAUGAAAGUCGGUAACACCUGAAGCCGGUGGCCUAACCUUUUGGAGGGAGCCGUCGAAGGUGGGA